This is a small nucleolar RNA of Ficedula albicollis (Collared flycatcher), 91 nucleotides long. The record is from Ensembl. NCBI's taxonomy places the organism in Eukaryota, Metazoa, Chordata, Aves, Passeriformes, Muscicapidae.
GGCCGCUGAUGAUUCACAUUCACCUUUCUGACACCUCGUCUGAGGGCGGCGGGCGGCCGCGGCCCCUGCUGAGCAGCCACGGCUGAGGCCC